UCACAAUCUGGUCACUUCUAUUAAAGAAACAUCAGUCAUCCUCCCCGUCUCGCCCUCACAUCUCUCCCAUUCCCCAUUCUCGCAUCGCCAGCUCCCUCCCUCCAUAGCCGGCGGUCCCAGGUCAGGCCGCCCCUCCCCUUUGUCACCAUAGCCGGCCCGAGCUUCGCAGCAACUGAUCUUCCGCCCCUGCAUGUCGAAUCUGGCCACGGAAGUGACCGAGGAGGCCCUCGAGCUUGGCAUGCUCGCGCCAGCUCCAGGCGCCGUCCGAGAAGGACGCUGAGGCGCGGGCCUCACACGCCCCUCCUCUGCCAUGCUCCUUCUUCGAAUCCAGUCGUCGAACUGCUCGAGAAGGCGCUCGAGCUUGGCAUGUUCGCCGGCGACGCCCGCCCCCUCCCUCCUCCUGAUGCCCCCGAUGUCGCAGCCAUGAGCCUCUCCAUCCUCUCCCGCGUGAUCGUCCGGGUCCAGUGUUCCGAAGAAAAUGAAUGUCAAAUGAAGUCCAAACGGAAUGAAACCUUCGGGAGCGAUCUUUUUGGAACAAACGUGAUCCAGGGGAUUUGGAGUGGACGUGAACCAACAGAGGAGGCGGCCACGAGGGUGCCCGGCGCGCCCUUUGAGCGUCCACCGACCUAUUUCUUCCUCCUAUAUAUACCCAUGUGUCCUGAAACCAUCGAGGAGCACCAUGAAAAACUAUUUUCACCAUCGUAACCUUCUGUAUCUGCGAGAUCCCAUCUUGGAGUCUUUGUCGGUGCUCCGCUGAAGGGGGAAUCGAUCAUGGAGGGCCUCUACAUCAUCUCCAAGGUCCUUUUGAUGAGUUGUGAGUAUUUUACCAUAAACCUUUGGGUUCAUAGUUAUUAGCUAGAUGGCUUUUUCUCUUUCUUUAAAUCUCAAUACAAAGUUUUCCUUGAUCUUCAUGUAGAUUUAUUCGAUGUAAUUCUUUUUGUGCUCUGUUUGUCGAGAUUCGAUAAAUUGUGGGUUUAUAAUCAAGUUUAUUUAUGAGAAAUACUUGAAUUUCCUCUGAAUUCUUUUAUGUAUGAUUGAGUUAUCUUUGCAAGUCUUUUCGAAUUAUCAGUUUGGUUUGGCCUAUUAAAUUGAUCUUUCUUGCAAUGGGAGAAGUGCUUAGCUUUGGUUUCAAUCUUGCGGUGUUCUUUCUCAGUGACAGCAGGGGCAGCAAAGCACGUAUUGUAUUGUUGCUAUCGAGGAUAAAAAGAUGGGUUUAUUUCAUAUUACAUGAGUUUAUCCCUCUCUAUCAUGUCAUCUUUUUUAAUGCUUUACUCUGUUUUUUGUGAACUUAAUACUCUAGAUGCAUGCUGGAUAACGGUCGAUGUGUGGAGUAAUAGUAGUAGAUGCAGGCAGGAGUCGGUCUACUUGUCAUAGACGUGAUGCCUAUAUACAUGAUUAUGCCUAGAUAAUCUCAUAACUAUGCGCUUUUCUAUCAAUUACUUGACAGUAAUUUGUUCACCC
RNAcentral lists this ribosomal RNA (1461 nucleotides) under Triticum aestivum (bread wheat). Its description in RNAcentral is "partial small subunit ribosomal RNA". The record is from RNAcentral. Lineage: Eukaryota; Viridiplantae; Streptophyta; Magnoliopsida; Poales; Poaceae.